AUCGCUUCUUUGCCUUUUGGCUAAGAUCAAGUGUAGUAUCUGGUCUUAUCAGUUUAAAGUUUAUUUUGAGGAAGCGUGU
RNAcentral lists this small nuclear RNA (79 nucleotides) under Suricata suricatta (meerkat). RNAcentral describes it as "U2 spliceosomal RNA (ENSSSUG00005017968.1)". It matches the Rfam family "U2 spliceosomal RNA", at positions 1 to 74 of the family's 192-position model. Rfam says of the family: U2 is a small nuclear RNA (snRNA) component of the spliceosome (involved in pre-mRNA splicing). Complementary binding between U2 snRNA (in an area lying towards the 5' end but 3' to hairpin I) and the branchpoint sequence (BPS) of the intron results the bulging out of an unpaired adenosine, on the BPS, which initiates a nucleophilic attack at the intronic 5' splice site, thus starting the first of two transesterification reactions that mediate splicing. The record is from Rfam by way of RNAcentral. Lineage: Eukaryota; Metazoa; Chordata; Mammalia; Carnivora; Herpestidae.